This 468-nucleotide ribosomal RNA is filed under the name uncultured bacterium. RNAcentral describes it as "partial 16S ribosomal RNA". It matches the Rfam family "Bacterial small subunit ribosomal RNA", at positions 28 to 507 of the family's 1533-position model. The record is from RNAcentral.
GACGAACGCUGGCGGCGUGCUUAACACAUGCAAGUCGAACGGAAAGGCCCUGCUUUUGUGGGGUGCUCGAGUGGCGAACGGGUGAGUAACACGUGAGUAACCUGCCCUUGACUUUGGGAUAACUUCAGGAAACUGGGGCUAAUACCGGAUAGGAGCUCCUGCUGCAUGGUGGGGGUUGGAAAGUUUCGGCGGUUGGGGAUGGACUCGCGGCUUAUCAGCUUGUUGGUGGGGUAGUGGCUUACCAAGGCUUUGACGGGUAGCCGGCCUGAGAGGGUGACCGGCCACAUUGGGACUGAGGUACGGCCCAGACUCCUACGGGCGGCAGCAGUGGGGAGUAUUGCACAAUGGGCGGAAGCCUGAUGCAGCAACGCCGCGUGCGGGAUGACGGCCUUCGGGUUGUAAACCGCUUUCGCCUGUGACGAAGCGUGAGUGACGGUAAUGGGUAAAGAAGCACCGGCUAACUACGUG